UACAGGGGGGGCAAGCGUUGUUCGGAAUUACUGGGCGUAAAGGGCCAGUAGGCGGCCAACUAAGUCACACGUGAAAUCCCCAGCUUAACCUGGGAACUGCGUGUGAUACUGGAUGGCUUGAAUUCGGGAGAGGGAUGCAGAAUCCAGGUGUAGCGGUGAAAUGCGUAGAUAUCUGGAGGAAUACCGGUGGCGAAGGCGGCAUCCUGGACCGACAUUGACGCUGAACGGCGAAAGCUAGGGGAGCGAAACGGG
RNAcentral lists this ribosomal RNA (252 nucleotides) under uncultured bacterium. RNAcentral describes it as "partial 16S ribosomal RNA". It matches the Rfam family "Bacterial small subunit ribosomal RNA", at positions 524 to 777 of the family's 1533-position model. The record is from RNAcentral.